This 492-nucleotide ribosomal RNA is filed under the name uncultured bacterium. RNAcentral's name for it is "partial 16S ribosomal RNA". It matches the Rfam family "Bacterial small subunit ribosomal RNA", at positions 29 to 507 of the family's 1533-position model. The record is from RNAcentral.
AGUGAACGCUGGCGGUAGGCCUAACACAUGCAAGUCGAACGGCAGCACAGUAAGAGCUUGCUCUUACGGGUGGCGAGUGGCGGACGGGUGAGGAAUACAUCGGAAUCUACUUUUUCGUGGGGGAUAACGUAGGGAAACUUACGCUAAUACCGCAUACGACCUACGGGUGAAAGCAGGGGAUCUUCGGACCUUGCGCGAUUGAAUGAGCCGAUGUCGGAUUAGCUAGUUGGCGGGGUAAAGGCCCACCAAGGCGACGAUCCGUAGCUGGUCUGAGAGGAUGAUCAGCCACACUGGGACUGAGACACGGUCCAGACUCCUACGGGAGGCAGCAGUGGGGAAUAUUGGACAAUGGGCGCAAACCUGAUCCAGCCAUACCGCGUGGGUGAAGAAGGCCUUCGGGUUGUAAAGCCCUUUUGUUGGGAAAGAAAAGCAGCAGGUUAAUACCCCGCUGUUCUGACGGUACCCAAAGAAUAAGCACCGGCUAACUUCGUG